GUCGGAGUGGUGGAACCGGCAGACACGUACGUUUGAGGGGCGUAUCCGUAACUGGGUGCGGGUUCAAGUCCCGCCUCCGACACCA
This 85-nucleotide transfer RNA is filed under the name Syntrophomonadaceae bacterium. RNAcentral's name for it is "tRNA-Leu". It matches the Rfam family "tRNA". Rfam says of the family: Transfer RNA (tRNA) molecules are approximately 80 nucleotides in length. Lineage: Bacteria; Bacillati; Bacillota; Clostridia; Eubacteriales; Syntrophomonadaceae. RNAcentral also lists the same sequence under 1 other name. The record is from RNAcentral.